This is a long non-coding RNA of Parambassis ranga (Indian glassy fish), 2257 nucleotides long. The record is from Ensembl. NCBI's taxonomy places the organism in Eukaryota, Metazoa, Chordata, Actinopteri, Ambassidae.
UCUGCUCUCUGCUCUGACCUAUACCCAUGUGAGGCACCAAUAACACUGGGUGGGAUAUUCAGUCUGUUCCCCCUCUCCCUCCCCAGCCCUCUGCUUAGCUUGGCUCUUUCCUCCCCCCCUGCGCUGCUUUGCUUUGCUCCAAACUGUCCCCAUCUUCAAUGCUGCCACUCCGGCAGCUCCAAAUUCCCCAGCACCUGUAAGCUUAGAAUUUAUGCUUUAUUUUCUUUUUUUUAAUCCUGGUGUCCAACCUGUGGAAGACAUGGGUAAAGAGAGAAGACUGUGAUAACUAAAUGGACCUGCAAUAAUUUACUGACUGGGAUGCUUUUUUUGACUUGAAAACUUGAUACUGAUUCACUGAAGCUGUCACCAGUCAGUCCUGCAUGAGGAGGCUUUGCCCCCAGCUUGGAGGAUCCUACCUGAAGUAGACUCCACAUCACCAUGGCUGAAGGAGCUAAAUCCGCCUCCCACCCUGCAGCCGCUGCAUCCAAUGGAGCAGCGGCCCAAAGCUCCCUCAGAUCCAAAGGUCUGGGGCUGCUCAGGAAGCUGAAAAUGUCUGUGGAGCUGCUCUUUGCUCUGGCUGCUCUGCUGUCCUGGGUGGUUGUAGGUGUGGUGAUGUUUGACUUUGUGGAGUACAAGGCAGUCCCAGAUGUUCAGCAAAUCAUUACGGAUCCUGUUCAAGCUGUAAACGAUGCUGUUGAUGAAGUGACCAGUCUGUUUAAUAAAUUUCAAGAAUGUGCACCUGAUUUGAGCGACCCCAUGUCUGCUGCCACGUACGCAGCUGAGGAAAUAUCGGUGGCAAAAGAUGGAAUUGUUCGAUACUUUUCAGACGAGGAAGGGACCUUCUACCUCAGCUACGUCGACCCUGUGGUCAUUGGUAGACGAGCCUUCCAUUCAACCAAUGACUUCAUGUGUGGAGUGGUGGGCCCCUUCAGGGACACACUCUCUGCUGCUGUGGAUACCAUAUUAGAUACCAUAACAGAUAUAAAUAAAGGAAAAAUUGAUCUUAGCUACAUUGACCCUGUUGUAGUAGGCAGAGGUGUCUUUAGUGUUACUAAUGAGCUCAUGAACGGACUAACAGCCUACAUCCAGGAUGCACUCUGUUACAUGAUGGACACUACACUGGAUGUAGUGAAAGGAACCACUGACGUUAGCUUCAUGGACCCCGUGGUCAUUGGCAGAAAUGUCUUCACUAUUACAAAUGACACCGUCAGUGGACUAGUGGGCUAUAUCCAGGACUUACUCUGUGCCAUCCUAGACACUAUCCUGGAUAUAACUAAAGGGACCACUGACAUUAGCUUCAUUGACCCCGUGGUCAUUGGUAGAAAUGUCUUCAGUAGUAUAAAUGACACUGUCAAUGGACUAGUGGGCUAUAUCCAGGACUUACUCUGUGCCAUCAUAGACACUAUCCUGGAUAUAACUGGAGGACAAACUGACGUUAGCUUCAUUGACCCUGUGGUUGUUGGCAGAAAAGCCUUCAGUGUUAUUAAUGACUUUGUGAGUGGAAUAGCUGAAUACAUCCAGGAUGUGCUCUGUGCCAUCUUGGAUGUUAUACUCGAUGCAUUAAAAGAUAUCGAGGAAGCUGUGGGCUUCAGUCCCAUGUCUGUUCUGAAGACAGCAGCAGAAAUCACCAAAGAACACACAAACAUGCUUGUGAGCUACGUCUCCUCAACACUGAUUGGGGAACAAGGGAUCGUACCUGAAGUCUCCAUUGACCCCAUGAAAGUUGUUGAAGACGCUGUGCUGGAGUUCACAGACAAGAAAGAUCUGUUCAUGGCUUACAUGUCAAGCAUGCUUGUUGGUGACCAAGAUGAAAGUGCAGCUUCCCCAGCUGAUAUCAAUCUUGUAAGAAGAAAAGGGGAAUUUCUGCCACCUUUAGAAAAAGUUGCAGAGACCUUGCAUGAAGUAGAUGAAGCUGCUCAGACAAAAACUGAAGAGGUGGAGGCAGAAGCUCCCUUUGAAGUUGCCAGUGAAGCACAGGCAGAGGAAGAGGAAGUGAAACAUGUCCACCUUGAAGAAAAAGAACCUGAACCAUCACUGAAAGAAGUGGAAAUCAUUGAAGAGGAGGAAGAGGAGGAGCAGGAGGGAAAGGGCAAAGAGGUUGUUGAGGAGGAAGAAGAAGAGAAGGAGGAAGGUGUAGAGCAAUUGGAGAAAAAGGAAGAAGAGGUUGGGGAGGCAGAAGAGGGUGAUGGUACAGAGGAACCCAUAGACAUUAAGAUAGAGGAGGCUGUGGUAGAAGAGGAGGAGGAGGUGGAGGAGG